This is a microRNA precursor of Ciona intestinalis (vase tunicate), 74 nucleotides long. NCBI's taxonomy places the organism in Eukaryota, Metazoa, Chordata, Ascidiacea, Phlebobranchia, Cionidae. The record is from Ensembl.
AGGUAAGGUCCUACAGCGUGGUACACCACGGUCACAAAUUUUGACCUCCCAUUAUCAUGCUGUAGGACUUUACC